GACGAACGCUGGCGGCGUGCCUAAUACAUGCAAGUCGAACGCAGUGGGGACGGGUGAGUAACACGUGGGUAAGCUCCCAUCAGAGGGGAAAACACUUGGAAACAGGUGCUAAACCGAUACUGAUGGAUGGACCCUGGGUGCAUUACCUAGUUGGUGAGGUAACGGCUAACCAAGGCCACGAUGCAUAGCUGACCUGGGAGGUGGUCAGGCAACACUGGGACGGAGACACGGCCAGGACUCCUACGGGGGGCAGCAGUAGGGAAUCUUCGGAAAUGGACGAAAGUCUGACCGAGCAACGCCGCGUGAGUGAAGAAGGUUUAGGGAUCGUAAAACUCUGUUGUUAGAGAAGCGGUAUCGAAACAGAAAGCCACGGCUAACUCCGUGCCAGCAGCCGCGGUAAUUC
Molecule: ribosomal RNA, 403 nt
Filed under: uncultured bacterium
Lineage: Bacteria
Description: partial 16S ribosomal RNA
Rfam family: Bacterial small subunit ribosomal RNA
Source: RNAcentral